RNAcentral lists this ribosomal RNA (465 nucleotides) under uncultured bacterium. Its description in RNAcentral is "partial 16S ribosomal RNA". It matches the Rfam family "Bacterial small subunit ribosomal RNA", at positions 338 to 795 of the family's 1533-position model. The record is from RNAcentral.
CCUACGGGAGGCUGCAGUAGGGAAUCUUCCACAAUGGGCGAAAGCCUGAUGGAGCAACGCCGCGUGGGUGAAGAAGGUCUUCGGAUUGUAAAACCCUUUUGUUAGAGAAGAAAGUGCGUGAGAGUAACUGUUCACGUUUCGACGGUAUCUAACCAGAAAGCCACGGCUAACUACGUGCCAGCGGCCUCGGUAAUACGGAGGUGGCAAGCGUUAUCCGGAUUUAUUGGGCGUAAAGGGAACGCAGGCGGUCUUUUAAGUCUGAUGUGAAAGCCUUCGGCUUAACCGGAGUAGUGCAUUGGAAACUGGGAGACUAGAGUGCAGGAGAGGAGAGUGGAACUCCAUGUGUAGGGGUAAAAUGCGUAGAUAUAUGGAAGAACACCAGUGGCGAAAGCGGCUAUCUGGACUGUAACUGACGCUGAGGUUCGAAAGCGUGGGUAGCAAACAGGAUUAGAUACCCGAGUAGUC